AAAAGACUCAGUCCUAACCUUACUAUUGGUUUUUGCUAAACAUAUACAUGCAAGUAUCCGCACUCCAGUGAGAAUGCCCCUAAAACUUUUACAACAAAAGCAAAAGGAGCAGGUAUCAGGCACACUAAACAGUUGCCCAAAACGCCUUGCUACAAGCCACACCCCCACGGGUAUUCAGCAGUAAUUAACAUUAAGCAAUAAGUGUAAACUUGACUUAGCUAUAGCAAGACUAGGGUUGGUAAAUCUUGUGCCAGCCACCGCGGUCAUACAAGAAACCCGAAUCAAUAGGCACCCGGCGUAAAGAGUGGUCAUACGUUAUCUUCACACUAAGAUUAAAAUGGAACUAAGCUGUCAUAAGCCCAAGAUCCCCUUAAACCUAACUCAAACCAUCUUAGUUAAACGAUCAAUUUCAACCCACGAAAGCCAGGACACAAACUGGGAUUAGAUACCCCACUAUGCCUAGCCCUAAAUCUAGAUACCCACACACUUACUUACGUAUUCGCCCGAGAACUACGAGCACAAACGCUUAAAACUCUAAGGACUUGGCGGUGCCCCAAACCCACCUAGAGGAGCCUGUUCUAUAAUCGAUAAUCCACGAUCUACCCAACCACCCCUUGCCAAUACAGCCUACAUACCGCCGUCGCCAGCCCACCUUUAAUGAAAGAAUAACAGUGAGCUCAAUAGCCCCCGCUAACAAGACAGGUCAAGGUAUAGCCCAUGGAGUGGAAGAAAUGGGCUACAUUCUCUAAAAUAGAGCAAACGAAAAAGGACAUGAAACCGGUCCUUGGAAGGAGGAUUUAGCAGUAAAGUGGGAUCACCCUAACAGCCCACUUUAAGACGGCCCUGAGGCACGUACAUACCGCCCGUCACCCUCUUCAAAAGCUAUCAACACCAAUAAAUAAACCCCCCCACAAAGACAAAGACGAGGUAAGUCUUAACAAGGUAAGUGUGCCGGAAGGUGCACUUAKACAAC
Molecule: non-coding RNA, 973 nt
Filed under: Excalfactoria chinensis (blue-breasted quail)
Lineage: Eukaryota; Metazoa; Chordata; Aves; Galliformes; Phasianidae
Description: Coturnix chinensis 12S ribosomal RNA
Rfam family: Bacterial small subunit ribosomal RNA
Source: RNAcentral